Alligator sinensis (Chinese alligator) is the source of this 291-nucleotide long non-coding RNA. RefSeq lists it as uncharacterized. The transcript is spliced from 3 exons. NCBI's taxonomy places the organism in Eukaryota, Metazoa, Chordata, Crocodylia, Alligatoridae. The record is from RefSeq and is a predicted model, not a curated record.
GCCUGGAAAGCUGUCCAGCCUACACCGCGACCACCUUGGGUGGAGAAUACAAGUUUGUAAACUACCUGGGCAUGAUGUCAGACUUGUCUACUUCGCCUUUUGCAUGUUGGGAGGAAAUUCAUUUAACCUGAAGAUAAAUUACAGUAUUGGGAUCAAAGCAAGAACACACAGGUAGAGUGGCCACUGACACAUCCCCAGAAUACAGGACAUCCCCUUGGUAAGGUGUGGGACCACUGGCCCUCUCAACCAAUCAGCGAUGAGGGGCAGGGCUGAUACCUCCUUGGCCAAUCA